UGUAGGAGUGAGCCUGCUCGCGAUAGCGCUGGGUCAGUCAGCACAUGUGUUUCUGACUCACCGCUAUCGCGAGCAGGCUCACUCCUACA
This 89-nucleotide unclassified non-coding RNA is filed under the name Pseudomonas granadensis. Lineage: Bacteria; Pseudomonadati; Pseudomonadota; Gammaproteobacteria; Pseudomonadales; Pseudomonadaceae. RNAcentral also lists the same sequence under 1 other name. The record is from RNAcentral.